AGAGUUUGAUCAUGGCUCAGAUUGAACGCUGGCGGCAGGCCUAACACAUGCAAGUCGAGCGCGAAAGGCCUUCGGGCUGAGUAGAGCGGCGGACGGGUGAGUAACGCGUAGGAAUCUACCUGGUAGUGGGGGACAACUUGGGGAAACUCAAGCUAAUACCGCAUACGCCCCAUGGGGGAAAGCGGGGGACCUUCGGGCCUCGCGCUAUCAGAUGAGCCUGCGUAGGAUUAGCUAGUUGGUGAGGUAAAGGCUCACCAAGGCGACGAUCCUUAGCUGGUCUGAGAGGAUGAUCAGCCACACUGGGACUGAGACACGGCCCAGACUCCUACGGGAGGCAGCAGUGGGGAAUAUUGCGCAAUGGGGGCAACCCUGACGCAGCCAUGCCGCGUGUGUGAAGAAGGCCUUCGGGUUGUAAAGCACUUUAAGUGGGGAGAAAGGCCCGUUGGUUAAUAGCCAGCGGGAUUGAUGUUACCCACAGAAUAAGCACCGGCUAACUCCGUGCCAGCAGCCGCGGUA
RNAcentral lists this ribosomal RNA (516 nucleotides) under uncultured Pseudomonadota bacterium. Its description in RNAcentral is "bacterial SSU rRNA". It matches the Rfam family "Bacterial small subunit ribosomal RNA", at positions 8 to 522 of the family's 1533-position model. The record is from RNAcentral. Lineage: Bacteria; Pseudomonadati; Pseudomonadota.